UAGGUUUAGGUUAUAGGUUUAGGUUUUGGUUUUAGGUUUAGGUUAAGGUUAUAAGUUUAGGUUAUAGGUUAUAGGUUAAGGUUUAGGUUAUAGGUUUUGGUUUAGGUUAAGGUUAUAGGUUUUGGUUUAGGUUAUAGGUUUAGGUUUAGAUUUAGGUUUAGGUUUAGGUUUUAGUUUAUAGGUUUAGGUUAUAGGUUUAG
Molecule: long non-coding RNA, 200 nt
Organism: Magnolia sinica
Lineage: Eukaryota; Viridiplantae; Streptophyta; Magnoliopsida; Magnoliales; Magnoliaceae
Exons: 3
Source: RefSeq, a predicted model, not a curated record